CGGUUGAGCUAGGGUUGAACUGUGAUGGUGGUGACAAAUAUUGCCGUCUGUUGCUAUUGUUGAUGCUGUUGAUGUUGGGAUUGAGCCAGUUUUUGGAAUUGACUCAAGGACAAAGGAUCAAGUUCAUCAGUCAUGAUGAUAAGAACAUAUAUUGUUGAUUUUUGAGAUAAGAUGUGGAACAAGGACAAGGUUUAAAUAGAGGAUGGGCUGAAUGUGG
RNAcentral lists this long non-coding RNA (217 nucleotides) under Nicotiana benthamiana. Its description in RNAcentral is "long non-coding RNA (NBEN_LNC004290)". Lineage: Eukaryota; Viridiplantae; Streptophyta; Magnoliopsida; Solanales; Solanaceae. The record is from RNAcentral.